This 4473-nucleotide long non-coding RNA is filed under the name Brassica napus (rape). RNAcentral's name for it is "long non-coding RNA (BNAP_LNC003544)". The record is from RNAcentral. Lineage: Eukaryota; Viridiplantae; Streptophyta; Magnoliopsida; Brassicales; Brassicaceae.
UUAGCUCAGCACUUACACUUUACUUCAUUCUGUCUUUUUGACUCUUUUCUCUCUCAUUCACAAGUCCCACCACCGCUUUAUCGAAAAAGGCAAGGCGUUCGUCACCUUUUGCGUUUUUCUACUUUUCAUCCGGGGAUGGCGGAUUGGGCUCCGGUCCUCGUCGGAGUUGUACUGUUCGUAUUGCUCUCUCCAGGUCUCCUCUUCUCGUUGCCUGGUCAUCACCGGACGCUAGAUUUCGGCGGCAUGAAAACCAACGGAAAAGCAAUCGCCGUCCACACACUCAUCUUCUUCGCUGCUUACACGAUCUUGAUCCUCGCUGUCAAUCUCCACAUCACCACCGGCUGAUUUAGGUUUUCCGGCGAAAUAAAGGUAACCCCCUUAUUGGAUCUGGGGGAGUUUCAAGAAUCUUCUUAGAUUUGGAUCUCUGUUUUUUUAGAGCUUUUACUUUUUACUUACGGACAUAAACUUGUUGUGUUGUACUGAAAAUGUAUUAUGUUAUUUAUCGUUAAGGUUGUGACAUUGCGAUUAAUAUAAAUGAAAAUUGAACCUUUUUGGAUCCGUAUGAGUAAAGAGUCAAAGAUUAAUGAAAAAAAAGUUGUGGAAACAAUCAAAAUACAAAAUGUUUUAGACCAGUUGAUGUUGUUUGAGUAUAACAUGACUGAGUAACGCGAGCUCGUAAAUGUUUUAUACCAGUUAAAGUCUGAACCUUUGUAAUUAAAGGUAAGAAAUUGAAUUUGGGAAAAUACAAAAUUACAGAUUAUUUAUUUGUAUUUUUAGUCACCCUGCUUGAAACACUAUGAGCCAAGAAUUCAGAGAUUAGCAAAAUAAGUAGCAGAAAAAGGCAAACUUUGAAUACAAAUAAGGUCGCCUUUGUUAUACUAGAAGAUCAGAAAUGGAUGUGAAUUUGUAUGGCUAUGACCAAGAUAGUGAGUAUACAGAAGUAAAUAAUGGCGUGGACCAAAAUCGAAAUGCCGCUUGUGCUCAUGUUACCAAACUCCAUCACUCUUGUCCUUGCCGGUAGCUGAAAGAGCAAUACUGGUGAGAGUAGGAUGAACAGAGCCACUGCUACAAUCACUGGUCCCCAGUCUGCACUCAUAUCUCCAGUUAUCUUCUCUCUACUAUGAUAGGUGUUUAUUGUGUAAUAGGUUCUUGUUCUUGCAGAUGAAGUAAGAUGUGGGAUUAAAGCUUGUGAUGGUUUUAUGUAGAGUUAUGGGUUUCUUGGUGGCUAAGGAGAGGAACUGGUUUUAGAUGCUAAGCUUUGGUAAGGCUACAAAGGAAAGGUAUUGUAUUCUUUAAAUGUUUUUUUUUUGCCUCUUUUGUCUUUUUUAGUUGUUUAUAGACUUUCUUUAUUCUUAAAUUUUCAAUCAAUUGCUUCUUUUAUGGUUUCUGUUUUCUAUUCUCAAUGACAAAUUGACAACUGCUUUACAGAUCGUUCUUGGUACGUGUUUUUUGCUUUUGUUAAAGAAUUGCUAAACAAAAAAAAGUAAAUGAAUGUGUAAAAGAUGAUUUAACCAUUCUUUUUUAUCAUUUUCAAGGGUCUACUUUUUCUUCAUAGGUUUAGAUUUAGGGUUUUUUCUGGUCAGUAUAGAGGAGACUGUUGGACCAGCGAGACUAAGCAGGACUGAAUAUGGUAGUUUGGUAAGAAAUAUUGGCUCUGAUGAUGAACAAUGUGAAACUCCUUGCUUGCUUUCAUGUUAGGCUAUAUGUUUAUAACCGAUUGGAACUAAAUUAUACAUAAAAAGAUGAUAAAAAAAAAAAGUGUUAGUCACGCUUAAAGAAGUACAUAACUAAAAUCAAACAUGUAAGAGGAAUGAAACAGCAAAGAAAGUUCACUAACCUCCAGUGUCUCAAUCUGUUUAGUGACUUUCCACAUCCCCCUCAUGACGUCUUCAGCCUCCACCACCCGCUUAGUCAACCUCUCGAUCUCCUCCUGCACACCUAUUACCCAAGGCUGACGAUAAUGGAACCCAUCAGCCUUGGUUACAACAUUAAAAAAUAUCAGAGACUUGUAGUUCAUGAAACCCAUAAACGAUAAUCAAACCGGAAAAAAGAUAACCUCGUGGUUUAUGCAGGUGAAGAACCGCUUCCCCGGAUUAGUGUCGUACUCGUCAUUCCGUCUAACCUCAUCAAUAAUUCUCCCACCACAUGGACACUUUCUUGGAAUCCCGUACUCUGAAUCGGCCACGAACCCUAACAUGUUGUUGUAAUCGAUUUGCCUCUUUGAAUUUCUUUUCUCUUCAGCCGGAUCCAUCUGUGCCACAAAUCGAUAGUAUUAGCACAUAAUAAUGAUGGAAUAUGAUUAAACGAACUCUCAAUCGAACUCCCUUAUCGAUUAAGAACCCUAAGAAAAAAAAACCCAAAUCGAUUUUGAAUCACACAAUUCGCAUUCGAAAAAAACUCCCCAAAUCAAGUCUAAUCCAUAUUUAAUCAACUAUAUAUUCACCUUAGAGCGUCGAGAAAAGAGACCGUCGUCGAUUUGAUGGACAGAACCUACGGAAUUCGCCGUCGCACCGAAGAUCGCCGCAGGGAUGAGAUACCCUAGCUUUUUUGAGAGAGGAGAGAAAUGAAUCGAAUAACGCGAAAUCCCGUCUUUCCACAACGUCAGCGCGGAAACGACCAGCCAAUCUGUGCGUGACGCGUGGCUUGAACUCGCCCCUUACGGGUUCAUAACUAAGGCCCGGUUCAGCGAUAUUUACCCAUUUUACAUUUUCUUUUAAUUGAUCGGACCUAAGAUCCCGAGCCCAUGACCCCCUCAUAAACCGCUGAUGCGGAUGGUCUAAGUGCGUUUACUUCUUUAUUUUCACGAGUUAUAUGACUUACGACCACAUAGUAACGCAAAAAAGACCAGACAAACUCACCAUGAAUAAUGAUUUUAAUCGUAGAGAAACGGUUCUAUCAUUUCAUCGCAUUCAAGUCUUAUGAUAUUCACAUGAACCGGGACCUUCUUGUUGUGAUCAAUAAAUGUUACACGCCAAUUUUUGAAAUUCAAUUUGGAGGAGUUUCGUUAUACACAUGUGACAUGUCAUGUAAUCUUCUGUUUAUGAAAUUUAUUUGAAAGACAAAAAAAACUAGUAGCGGAUGAGAUGUAAUGGGUCUACCACUCGCUAAUAACAUUUAUCUUCUUUUUCGAUUUGACAUAUAUAUUCUUUUAAAAUUAGUAAUAAUUAAUUUGAUUGGUGUAUUUCAUUUUAAAAUGAUUCCUUAUAUUGACAUAACACAAAACGUGUAAAAUUAUUAUAUCUACCCCCAUCUUAAUCUUUUGUGCGUAUAUUAAAUUAACCUAUAACUUGGGUUAGAAAAAAAAAAACAUAUCGAACAAUAUAUAUAUUUUUCUUAGUGCAUGGAGUACGCGUUUACACUUGGAGAUGUCCCUACAGGCUCCUCCUGCACAGCACACCAAGUAGCAAUCUUAUUAAUUUUAUUAGAAUCUUAUCACAUUUUUUUCAUAAAUUCAGAUUAGAAUUUAAUUUAGUGUUAAUUAUCUCAGUAACCAAUUUUGUGUUAUGGGUCAGCUUUAUAAUCUGAAACAUAUAAACAACUCUACUGGUCAGCUUUUUAUUUUUCUUUUUUUGUUACACCAUUUACCUUUAAUUUUCAAGUAAAAAUUUUAGGAAAACAUAAACUUUUACAAUUUGUCUUUUUAAAAUCUGUAAGUCAAAAAACCUUCUCCCACCAAGUAUAAUGAAAAAGAGAUUCUACGUUUUUAUCACACAUAUACGAGACUAUUCUAAAUUUUCGAAAAUUUAAAAUAAAGGUAAAGAAAAGGAAAAAUAAUCUUUUUUUUUUGUCAUCAAAGUGGCCUUAGCUCAGCACUUACACUUUACUUCAUUCUGUCUUUUUGACUCUUUUCUCUCUCAUUCACAAGUCCCACCACCGCUUUAUCGAAAAAGGCAAGGCGUUCGUCACCUUUUGCGUUUUUCUACUUUUCAUCCGGGGAUGGCGGAUUGGGCUCCGGUCCUCGUCGGAGUUGUACUGUUCGUAUUGCUCUCUCCAGGUCUCCUCUUCUCGUUGCCUGGUCAUCACCGGACGCUAGAUUUCGGCGGCAUGAAAACCAACGGAAAAGCAAUCGCCGUCCACACACUCAUCUUCUUCGCUGCUUACACGAUCUUGAUCCUCGCUGUCAAUCUCCACAUCACCACCGGCUGAUUUAGGUUUUCCGGCGAAAUAAAGGUAACCCCCUUAUUGGAUCUGGGGGAGUUUCAAGAAUCUUCUUAGAUUUGGAUCUCUGUUUUUUUAGAGCUUUUACUUUUUACUUACGGACAUAAACUUGUUGUGUUGUACUGAAAAUGUAUUAUGUUAUUUAUCGUUAAGGUUGUGACAUUGCGAUUAAUAUAAAUGAAAAUUGAACCUUUUUGGAUCCGUAUGAGUAAAGAGUCAAAGAUUAAUGAAAAAAAAGUUGUGGAAACAAUCAAAAUACAAAAUGUUUUAGACCAGUUGAUGUUGUUUGAGUAUAACAUGACUGAGUAACGCGAG